Molecule: transfer RNA, 76 nt
Filed under: Candidatus Woesebacteria bacterium
Lineage: Bacteria; Candidatus Woeseibacteriota
Description: tRNA-Asp
Rfam family: tRNA
About the family: Transfer RNA (tRNA) molecules are approximately 80 nucleotides in length. Their secondary structure includes four short double-helical elements and three loops (D, anti-codon, and T loops).
Source: RNAcentral
GGGGCCGUGGUGUAGCGAUUAACACAUCCGCCUGUCACGCGGAAGAUCGCGGGUUUGACUCCCGUCGGCCCCGCAA